GACGAACGCUGGCGGCGUGCUUAACACAUGCAAGUCGAGCGGAAAGGCCACUUCGGUGGUACUCGAGCGGCGAACGGGUGAGUAACACGUGAGUAAUCUGCCCCUGGCUUUGGGAUAGCCACCGGAAACGGUGAUUAAUACCGGAUACGACCACUUCUCGCAUGGGAUGGUGGUGGAAAGUUUUUUCGGCCAGGGAUGUGCUCGCGGCCUAUCAGCUUGAUGGUGAGGUAAUGGCUCACCAUGGCUUCGACGGGUAGCCGGCCUGAGAGGGUGGCCGGUCACACUGGGACUGAGGCACGGCCCAGACUCCUACGGGAGGCAGCAGUGGGGAAGAUUGGACAAUGGGCGGUAGCCUGAUCCAGCAACGCCGCGUGAGGGAUGACGGCCUUCGGGUUGUAAACCUCUUUCAGCAGGGACGAAGCGCAAGUGACGGUACCUGCAGAAGAAGCACCGGCCAACUACGUGCCAGCCGCCGCAGUAA
This 481-nucleotide ribosomal RNA is filed under the name uncultured bacterium. RNAcentral describes it as "partial 16S ribosomal RNA". It matches the Rfam family "Bacterial small subunit ribosomal RNA", at positions 28 to 523 of the family's 1533-position model. The record is from RNAcentral.